GACGUAGGGCGCGAGCGUUGUCCGGAUUUAUUGGGCUUAAAGAGCUCGUAGGCGGCUUGUCGCGUCGACCGUGAAAAUCCGGGGCUCAACCCCGGACUUGCGGUGGGUACGGGCAGACUAGAGUGUGGUAGGGGAGACUGGAAGUUCCUGGUGUAGCGGUGAAAUGCGCAGAUAUCAGGAGGAACACCGGUGGCGAAGGCAGGUCUCUGGGCCAUUACUGACACUGAGAAGCGAAAGCAUGGGGAGCGAACAGG
This 254-nucleotide ribosomal RNA is filed under the name uncultured bacterium. RNAcentral describes it as "partial 16S ribosomal RNA". It matches the Rfam family "Bacterial small subunit ribosomal RNA", at positions 524 to 776 of the family's 1533-position model. The record is from RNAcentral.